Molecule: ribosomal RNA, 465 nt
Filed under: Vreelandella stevensii
Lineage: Bacteria; Pseudomonadati; Pseudomonadota; Gammaproteobacteria; Oceanospirillales; Halomonadaceae
Description: partial 16S ribosomal RNA
Rfam family: Bacterial small subunit ribosomal RNA
Source: RNAcentral
CCUACGGGGGGCUGCAGUGGGGAAUAUUGGACAAUGGGUGAAAGCCUGAUCCAGCCAUGCCGCGUGUGUGAAGAAGGCCUUCGGGUUGUAAAGCACUUUCAGUGGGGAAGAAAGCCUUGGGGCUAAUACCCUCGAGGAAGGACAUCACCCACAGAAGAAGCACCGGCUAACUCCGUGCCAGCAGCCGCGGUAAUACGGAGGGUGCGAGCGUUAAUCGGAAUUACUGGGCGUAAAGCGCGCGUAGGCGGUCUGAUAAGCCGGUUGUGAAAGCCCCGGGCUCAACCUGGGAACGGCAUCCGGAACUGUCAGGCUAGAGUGCAGGAGAGGAAGGUAGAAUUCCCGGUGUAGCGGUGAAAUGCGUAGAGAUCGGGAGGAAUACCAGUGGCGAAGGCGGCCUUCUGGACUGACACUGACGCUGAGGUGCGAAAGCGUGGGUAGCAAACAGGAUUAGAUACCCCAGUAGUC